ACAAACUCCGAAUGCCAAUUAAUUUAACUUGGGAGUCAGAACAUGGGUGAUAAGGUCCGUGUUCGAAAGGGAAACAGCCCAGACCACCAGCUAAGGUCCCAAAAUAUAUGUUAAGUGGAAAAGGAUGUGGCGUUGCCCAGACAACUAGGAUGUUGGCUUAGAAGCAGCCAUCAUUUAAAGAGUGCGUAAUAGCUCACUAGUCGAGUGACACUGCGCCGAAAAUGUACCGGGGCUAAACAUAUUACCGAAGCUGUGGAUUGUCCUUUGGACAAUGGUAGGAGAGCGUUCUAAGGGCGUUGAAGCAUGAUCGUAAGGACAUGUGGAGCGCUUAGAAGUGAGAAUGCCGGUGUGAGUAGCGAAAGACGGGUGAGAAUCCCGUCCACCGAUUGACUAAGGUUUCCAGAGGAAGGCUCGUCCGCUCUGGGUUAGUCGGGUCCUAAGCUGAGGCCGACAGGCGUAGGCGAUGGAUAACAGGUUGAUAUUCCUGUACCACCUAUAAUCGUUUUAAUCGAUGGGGGGACGCAGUAGGAUAGGCGAAGCGUGCGAUUGGAUUGCACGUCUAAGCAGUAAGGCUGAGUAUUAGGCAAAUCCGGUACUCGUUAAGGCUGAGC
Molecule: ribosomal RNA, 611 nt
Filed under: Staphylococcus aureus
Lineage: Bacteria; Bacillati; Bacillota; Bacilli; Caryophanales; Staphylococcaceae
Description: partial 23S ribosomal RNA
Rfam family: Bacterial large subunit ribosomal RNA
Source: RNAcentral